RNAcentral lists this ribosomal RNA (497 nucleotides) under uncultured bacterium. Its description in RNAcentral is "partial 16S ribosomal RNA". It matches the Rfam family "Bacterial small subunit ribosomal RNA", at positions 28 to 507 of the family's 1533-position model. The record is from RNAcentral.
GAUGAACGCUGGCGGCGUGCCUAAUACAUGCAAGUCGAGCGAACGGACGAGAAGCUUGCUUCUCUGAUGUUAGCGGCGGACGGGUGAGUAACACGUGGAUAACCUACCUAUAAGACUGGGAUAACUUCGGGAAACCGGAGCUAAUACCGGAUGAUAUUUUGAACCGCAUGGUUCAAAAGUAAAAGACGGCCUUGCUGUCACUUAUAGAUGGAUCCGCGCUGCAUUAGCUAGUUGGUAAGGUAACGGCUUACCAAGGCAACGAUGCAUAGCCGACCUGAGAGGGUGAUCGGCCACACUGGAACUGAGACACGGUCCAGACUCCUACGGGAGGCAGCAGUAGGGAAUCUUCCGCAAUGGGCGAAAGCCUGACGGAGCAACGCCGCGUGAGUGAUGAAGGUCUUCGGAUCGUAAAACUCUGUUAUUAGGGAAGAACAUAUGUGUAAGUAACUGUGCACAUCUUGACGGUACCUAAUCAGAAAGCCACGGCUAACUACGUG